This is a non-coding RNA of Aspergillus avenaceus, 82 nucleotides long. Lineage: Eukaryota; Fungi; Ascomycota; Eurotiomycetes; Eurotiales; Aspergillaceae. The record is from the annotation of a GenBank genome assembly.
GUCUCGGUGGCGCAAUUGGUUAGCGCGUAAGACUGUUAUUCCGUAAAUCUUGAGGUUGAGAGUUCGAUCCUCUCCCGGGACG